Molecule: ribosomal RNA, 1466 nt
Filed under: uncultured bacterium
Lineage: Bacteria
Description: 16S ribosomal RNA
Rfam family: Bacterial small subunit ribosomal RNA
Source: RNAcentral
AGAGUUUGAUCCUGGCUCAGGAUAAACGCUGGCGGUGUGCUUUAUGCAUGCAAGUCGAACGAACUAUUUUCGGAUAGUUAGUGGCAAACGGGUGAGUAACACGUAAGUAACCUGUCCUUAAGUGGGGGAUAACUCUGAGAAAUUGGAGCUAAUACCGCGUGUGAUAAUGGAGCUGGUGCUGCAUUAUUAAAGCCUUCGGGCGCUUGAGGAGGGGCUUGCGCACGAUUAGCUAGUUGGUGAGGUAAUGGCCUACCAAGGCGACGAUCGUUAGCUGGUUUGAGAGGAUGACCAGCCACACUGGAACUGAGACACGGUCCAGACUCCUACGGGAGGCAGCAGCAAGGAAUAUUGGGCAAUGGGCGAAAGCCUGACCCAGCGACACCGCGUGGGGGAUGAAGGUCUUCGGGUUGUAAACCCCUUUUCCCGGGGAAGAAUAAUGACGGUACCCGGGGAAUAAGCCUCGGCUAACUACGUGCCAGCAGCCGCGGUAAUACGUAGGAGGCGAGCGUUAUCCGGAUUUACUGGGCGUAAAGAGGGCGUAGGCGGCCUUUCAAGUCGGAUGUAAAAUCUCCCGGCUUAACUGGGAGGGACCAUUCGAUACUGUUGGGCUAGAGUGCAGCAGAGGGAGUUGGAACUCCCGGUGUAGUGGUGAAAUGCGUAGAUAUCGGGAAGAACACCAGUGGCGAAGGCGGCCUCCUGGGCUGUAACUGACGCUGAGGCCCGAAGGCGUGGGUAGCAAACAGGAUUAGAAUACCUGGUAGUCCACGCAGUAAACGAUGGAUACUAGGUAUAGGGAGUAUCGACCCUCUCUGUGCCGAAGCUAACGCUUUUAAGUAUCCCGCCUGGGGACUACGGUCGCAAGAAUAAAACUCAAAGGAAUUGACGGGGGCCCGCACAAGCAGCGGAGCGUGUGGUUUAAUUCGAUGCAACGCGAAGAACCUCACCAGGGCUUGACAUGUUGGAAGUAGAAACCCGAAAGGGGGACGACCUGUUGAGUCAGGAGCCUACACAGGUGCUGCAUGGCUGUCGUCAGCUCGUGCCGUGAGGUGUCGGGUUAAGUCCCAUAACGAGCGCAACCCCUGUCGUCAGUUAAUUUCUCUGGCGAUACAGCCCGGCGAAACCGGGAGGAAGGCGGGGAUGAUGUCAAGUCAGCAUGGCCCUUAUGCCCUGGGCUACACACACGCUACAAUGGGUGGUACAAUGGGUUGCAAUGGAGCGAUCCGGAGCUAAUCCUUAAAAACCAUCCUCAGUUCGGAUUGCAGGCUGAAAUUCGCCUGCAUGAAGUAGGAGUUGCUAGUAACCGUAAAUCAGCACGUUACGGUGAAUACGUUCUCGGGCCUUGUACACACCGCCCGUCACGUCAUGAAAGUCGGCAACGCCUGAAGUCGAUGGGCUAACUUCAUUUAUGAAGAAGCAGUCGCCUAGGGUGGGGUCGGUGAUUGGGACGAAGUCGUAACAAGGUAACC